GGGGGCGAAACGGUUUCGACCGGACGUCGGAAUGGAGAAUGGCAGGUGGAGGUGAUCCGGAGGCCUCCUAAAACACCGGAUAAAACUUUUUAAUUGUGAACAACAACUUCGCAAUGGCUGCCUAGUUUAACUAAGCGCCCCUUCCACCACGGUCUGUCCGUGAUCGUGACUGGAGGGCCAAAUUUACGGACUGGCCGAAGAAGACCCUGCCGGUGAUCUUCCAGGCGAGAUUGAACCGGCGCUCGCGGCUCGGAUCCUGUCCGUCGGAGCCGUUCGCGAGGCAAUAAAUGGCGGACUAAGCCUGUAGAUGUUCUUCUGGAAGCGUUUCGGGACCCGGGUUCGACUCCCGGCGCCUCCACUU
This 361-nucleotide transfer-messenger RNA is filed under the name Planctomycetota. Its description in RNAcentral is "QNYK01 sp012960845 Standard tmRNA". It matches the Rfam family "transfer-messenger RNA". Rfam says of the family: Bacterial tmRNA, also known as 10Sa RNA or SsrA, is named for its dual tRNA and mRNA-like properties. Its role is to liberate the mRNA from a stalled ribosome. The record is from RNAcentral. Lineage: Bacteria; Pseudomonadati. RNAcentral also lists the same sequence under 1 other name.